Molecule: ribosomal RNA, 729 nt
Filed under: uncultured bacterium
Lineage: Bacteria
Description: bacterial SSU rRNA
Rfam family: Bacterial small subunit ribosomal RNA
Source: RNAcentral
AACAGGAUUAGAUACCCUGGUAGUCCACGCUGUAAACGAUGAGUGUUAGGUUCUUGGAAUAAUCUGGGAGCCGCAGCUAACGCAUUAAACACUCCGCCUGGGGAGUACGCACGCAAGUGUGAAACUCAAAGGAAUUGACGGGGACCCGCACAAGCAGCGGAGCAUGUGGUUUAAUUCGACGCAACGCGAAGAACCUUACCAAGUCUUGACAUAUUUCGGAGGGAAUUAGAGAUAAUUUCUUACGACUUCGGUCGACUGAAAUACAGGUGGUGCAUGGUUGUCGUCAGCUCGUGUCGUGAGAUGUUGGGUUAAGUCCCAUAACGAGCGCAACCCCUAUCGUUAGUUACCAUCAUUAAGUUGGGGACUCUAGCGAUACUGCCGGUGAUAAACCGGAGGAAGGUGGGGACGACGUCAAAUCAUCAUGCCCUUUAUGACUUGGGCUACACACGUGCUACAAUGGCAGAUACAGAGGGCAGCGAAAGAGCGAUCUGAAGCGAAACUCACAAAAUCUGUCCCAGUUCGGAUUGUACUCUGCAACUCGAGUACAUGAAGUUGGAGUUGCUAGUAAUCGCGAAUCAGAAUGUCGCGGUGAAUGCGUUCCCGGGUCUUGUACACACCGCCCGUCACACCAUGGGAGUUGGCAAUACCCGAAGCCUGUGAGCGAACCUUUUAGGACGCAGCAGUCGAAGGUAGGGUCAGUAACUGGGGUGAAGUCGUAACAAGGUAACC